GGAUGCGAUCAUACCAGCACUAAAGCACCGGAUCCCAUCAGAACUCCGAAGUUAAGCGUGCUUGGGCGAGAGUAGUACUAGGAUGGGUGACCUCCUGGGAAGUCCUCGUGUUAGUAGUAC
This 120-nucleotide ribosomal RNA is filed under the name Triticum aestivum (bread wheat). The record is from RNAcentral. Lineage: Eukaryota; Viridiplantae; Streptophyta; Magnoliopsida; Poales; Poaceae.